CCUAGCCCUUCAGAGGGGGACAACAGUUGGAAACGACUGCUAAUACCGCAUACGAUUCAAUCUCGGCAUCGAGACUGGAUGAAAGGUGGCCUCUAUUUAUAAGCUAUCACUGAAGGAGGGGGUUGCGUCUGAUUAGCUAGUUGGAGGGGUAACGGCCCACCAAGGCGAUGAUCAGUAGCCGGUCUGAGAGGAUGAACGGCCACAUUGGGACUGAGACACGGCCCAG
This 226-nucleotide ribosomal RNA is filed under the name uncultured bacterium. RNAcentral describes it as "partial 16S ribosomal RNA". It matches the Rfam family "Bacterial small subunit ribosomal RNA", at positions 124 to 334 of the family's 1533-position model. The record is from RNAcentral.